UAUUUUAAUACAAAGGGCAAUAGAUUAAUUAAAAAUGCUAUUCCAACAUUAAAUUUGCCACAACCAUUGGAUGUCUUCUAGUCUUUUGGUAGAUUUUCCUUUAUAUGGUGAAGAAAAAGAAAAAUCUCAAGUCUUGAAAGUUUUCAAGAUAUAACAAAUUCAGAGAAUGUGCAAUGCAAUGAAAAUAUUUUAUCUAAAAU
RNAcentral lists this unclassified non-coding RNA (200 nucleotides) under Melitaea cinxia (Glanville fritillary). Its description in RNAcentral is "misc RNA ENSMCXG00005000651.1". Lineage: Eukaryota; Metazoa; Arthropoda; Insecta; Lepidoptera; Nymphalidae. The record is from RNAcentral.